UACGUAGGGUGCGAGCGUUGUCCGGAAUUAUUGGGCGUAAAGAGCUUGUAGGCGGUUUGUCGCGUCUGCUGUGAAAAUCCGGGGCUCAACCCCGGACUUGCAGUGGGUACGGGCAGACUAGAGUGUGGUAGGGGAGACUGGAAUUCCUGGUGUAGCGGUGAAAUGCGCAGAUAUCAGGAGGAACACCGAUGGCGAAGGCAGGUCUCUGGGCCAGCUACUGACGCUGAGAAGCGAAAGCAUGGGGAGCGAACAGG
RNAcentral lists this ribosomal RNA (254 nucleotides) under uncultured bacterium. RNAcentral's name for it is "partial 16S ribosomal RNA". It matches the Rfam family "Bacterial small subunit ribosomal RNA", at positions 524 to 776 of the family's 1533-position model. The record is from RNAcentral.